This 253-nucleotide ribosomal RNA is filed under the name uncultured bacterium. RNAcentral's name for it is "partial 16S ribosomal RNA". It matches the Rfam family "Bacterial small subunit ribosomal RNA", at positions 524 to 776 of the family's 1533-position model. The record is from RNAcentral.
GACGAAGGGGGCUAGCGUUGUUCGGAAUUACUGGGCGUAAAGCGAGUGUAGGUGGUUUUCCAAGUUGGAUGUGAAAGCCUUGAGCUCAACUCAAGAAAUGCAUUCAGGACUGGGAGACUAGAGGACCGGAGAGGAUAGUGGAAUUCCCAGUGUAGUGGUGAAAUACGUAGAGAUUGGGAAGAACACCAGUGGCGAAGGCGGCUAUCUGGACACAUAUUGACGCUGAGGUGCGAAAGCGUGGGGAGCAAACAGG